RNAcentral lists this ribosomal RNA (438 nucleotides) under uncultured bacterium. Its description in RNAcentral is "bacterial SSU rRNA". It matches the Rfam family "Bacterial small subunit ribosomal RNA", at positions 338 to 793 of the family's 1533-position model. The record is from RNAcentral.
CCUACGGGGGGCAGCAGUGGGGAAUAUUGCACAAUGGGGGAAACCCUGAUGCAGCGACGCCGCGUGAGUGAAGAAGUAAUUCGUUACGUAAAGCUCUAUCAGCAGGGAAGAAAAUGACGGUACCUGAGUAAGAAGCCCCGGCUAACUACGUGCCAGCAGCCGCGGUAAUACGUAGGGGGCAAGCGUUAUCCGGAUUUACUGGGUGUAAAGGGAGCGUAGACGGUGCGCCAAGUCUGGAGUGAAAUGCCGCAGCUUAACUGCGGAACUGCUUUGGAAACUGGCGUACUGGAGUGCGGGAGGGGUAAGCGGAAUUCCUAGUGUAGCGGUGAAAUGCGUAGAUAUUAGGAGGAACACCGGUGGCGAAGGCGGCUUACUGGACCGUAACUGACGUUGAGGCUCGAAAGCGUGGGGAGCAAACAGGAUUAGAUACCCCAGUAG